AUUCUUUGGUAAUUUCUAAGUGUGAUGAUUGGGCUUUCACACUCAAACCUGAGUGAACCUUUUUACAACAACAGCACAUUACCAGUCUGAUG
This is a small nucleolar RNA of Callithrix jacchus (white-tufted-ear marmoset), 92 nucleotides long. The record is from Ensembl. NCBI's taxonomy places the organism in Eukaryota, Metazoa, Chordata, Mammalia, Primates, Cebidae.